UGGGGGAUAUUGCACAAUGGGCGAAAGCCUGAUGCAGCGACGCCGCGUGGGGGAUGAAGGCCUUCGGGUUGUAAACUUCUUUUGCUCUGAACAAGGCGCACCAUGGGGUGUGUUGAGUGUAGGGGUUGAUUAGCGCCGGCUAACUACGUGCCAGCAGCCGCGGUAAUACGUAGGGCGCGAGCGUUGUCCGGAAUUAUUGGGCGUAAAGGGCUUGUAGGUGGCUGGUUGCGUCUGUCGUGAAAGCUCAUGGCUUAACUGUGGGUUUGCGGUGGGUACGGGCUGGCUUGAGUGCAGUAGGGGAGGCUGGAAUUCCUGGUGUAGCGGUGGAAUGCGCAGAUAUCAGGAGGAGUACCGGUGGCGAAGGCGGGUCUCUGGGCUGUUACUGACACUGAGGAGCGUAAGCAUGGGGAGCGAACAGG
Molecule: ribosomal RNA, 419 nt
Filed under: bacterium
Lineage: Bacteria
Description: partial 16S ribosomal RNA
Rfam family: Bacterial small subunit ribosomal RNA
Source: RNAcentral